CUACGGGGGGCUGCAGUGGGGAAUAUUGGACAAUGGGCGAAAGCCUGAUCCAGCCAUGCCGCGUGUGUGAAGAAGGCCUUCGGGUUGUAAAGCACUUUCAGUGGGGAAGAAAGCCUUGGGGCUAAUACCCUCGAGGAAGGACAUCACCCACAGAAGAAGCACCGGCUAACUCCGUGCCAGCAGCCGCGGUAAUACGGAGGGUGCGAGCGUUAAUCGGAAUUACUGGGCGUAAAGCGCGCGUAGGCGGUCUGAUAAGCCGGUUGUGAAAGCCCCGGGCUCAACCUGGGAACGGCAUCCGGAACUGUCAGGCUAGAGUGCAGGAGAGGAAGGUAGAAUUCCCGGUGUAGCGGUGAAAUGCGUAGAGAUCGGGAGGAAUACCAGUGGCGAAGGCGGCCUUCUGGACUGACACUGACGCUGAGGUGCGAAAGCGUGGGUAGCAAACAGGAUUAGAUACCCGAGUAGUC
RNAcentral lists this ribosomal RNA (464 nucleotides) under Vreelandella stevensii. RNAcentral's name for it is "partial 16S ribosomal RNA". It matches the Rfam family "Bacterial small subunit ribosomal RNA", at positions 339 to 795 of the family's 1533-position model. The record is from RNAcentral. Lineage: Bacteria; Pseudomonadati; Pseudomonadota; Gammaproteobacteria; Oceanospirillales; Halomonadaceae.